ACUCAAAUGAAUUGACGGGGGCCCGCACAAGCGGUGGAGCAUGUGGCUUAAUUCGAAGCAACGCGAAGAACCUUACCAAGGCUUGACAUGGGACUGACAGGUUGUGAAAGCAACUUUUUCUACGGAACGGUCUACACAGGUGGUGCAUGGUUGUCGUCAGCUCGUGUCGUGAGAUGUUGGGUUAAGUCCCGCAACGAGCGCAACCCUUGCGUCCAGUUGCCAUCAAGUGAAGUUGGGCACACUGGAGGGACUGCCGUGGAGAACACGGAGGAAGGUGGGGAUGAUGUCAAAUCAUCAUGCCCCUUAUGCCUUGGGCUGCACACGUGCUACAAUGGCGCAUACAAAGUGAAGCGAGCCUGUGAAGGUGAGCGGACCACAAAAAAGCGCCUCAGUUCGGAUUGCAGGCUGCAACCCGCCUGCAUGAAGUCGGAAUCGCUAGUAAUCGCGGAUCAGCAUGCCGCGGUGAAUACGUUCCCGGGCCUUGUACACACCGCCCGU
This 498-nucleotide ribosomal RNA is filed under the name uncultured bacterium. RNAcentral's name for it is "bacterial SSU rRNA". It matches the Rfam family "Bacterial small subunit ribosomal RNA", at positions 899 to 1397 of the family's 1533-position model. The record is from RNAcentral.